CAGUAGCUAGGCUUUCUCACUCUGACACCAUCAACCAACAUACUUUACACCGCAUGGGAUUUACUAAGACAGAUGGUGGUUGGACUAAAGGUGUGGAAGAGAGAGCUGAGGACAGAGCUGAGGAAGAAGGACCACCCUCACCCCUCCGUGAUCUCAGGGCAGCAUCUCCAGACAUUCAGUUCAUUUCGGAUCACGAGGCUGGACCAUCAGAGUCUACGAGGAGGCACACUCCAGUCUAGCAGCCAGACAGCAGAGCACUUCCCUCAGAGAUCAGAUUGACUGACGACCAGAUAGAGAUGAUAUCUCAGCACAU
This 313-nucleotide long non-coding RNA is filed under the name Elaeis guineensis (African oil palm). RNAcentral describes it as "long non-coding RNA (EGUI_LNC073218)". The record is from RNAcentral. Lineage: Eukaryota; Viridiplantae; Streptophyta; Magnoliopsida; Arecales; Arecaceae.